Molecule: non-coding RNA, 190 nt
Filed under: Bhargavaea cecembensis
Lineage: Bacteria; Bacillati; Bacillota; Bacilli; Caryophanales; Caryophanaceae
Description: 6S RNA
Rfam family: 6S / SsrS RNA
About the family: E. coli 6S RNA was the first non coding RNA to be sequenced, but its function was unknown until recently.
Source: RNAcentral
UACAAGCUGCAUUGACCGUAUUGAUUAUAAAGUUAAACCUUUGAGCUGAAAUAGGGAGUUUAAAAACGAGAUCGGAAUGAUAAGCUCCGGACUAAUUCCGGAGACGUGCAGGAACAUCUCUGAGGACACCCACUUUGUGGAGUGAUGGUUUUUAACUUUCUAAUUUUCCUACGGCAAAGGCGGCUUCUUA